This 73-nucleotide transfer RNA is filed under the name Felis catus (domestic cat). Lineage: Eukaryota; Metazoa; Chordata; Mammalia; Carnivora; Felidae. The record is from Rfam by way of RNAcentral.
GCCUGGCUGGCUCAGUCGGUGGAGCGUGCAACUCUUGAUCUCAGGGUCGUGAGGUCGAGCCCCACGCCGGGUG